RNAcentral lists this ribosomal RNA (465 nucleotides) under uncultured bacterium. RNAcentral describes it as "bacterial SSU rRNA". It matches the Rfam family "Bacterial small subunit ribosomal RNA", at positions 329 to 792 of the family's 1533-position model. The record is from RNAcentral.
UGCCAGACUCCUACGGGAGGCAGCAGUGAGGAAUAUUGGUCAAUGGCCGAGAGGCUGAACCAGCCAAGUCGCGUGAGGGAUGACGGCUCUACGGGUUGUAAACCUCUUUUGUCGGGGAGCAAAGAGAGUCACGUGUGGCUCAUUGAGAGUACCCGAAGAAAAAGCAUCGGCUAACUCCGUGCCAGCAGCCGCGGUAAUACGGAGGAUGCGAGCGUUAUCCGGAUUUAUUGGGUUUAAAGGGUGCGUAGGCGGACAGUCAAGUCAGCGGUAAAAAUGCGGUGCUCAACGCCGUACAGCCGUUGAAACUGGCAGUCUUGAGUGGGCGAGAAGUAUGCGGAAUGCGUGGUGUAGCGGUGAAAUGCAUAGAUAUCACGCAGAACUCCGAUUGCGAAGGCAGCAUACCGGCGCCCGACUGACGCUGAGGCACGAAAGCGUGGGUAUCGAACAGGAUUAGAUACCCCCGUA